GUGGGGAAUUUUGGACAAUGGGCGCAAGCCUGAUCCAGCAAUACCGCGUGCAGGAAGAAGGCCUUCGGGUUGUAAACUGCUUUUGUACGGAACGAAACGGUCCGGGUUAAUACCCUGGGCUAAUGACGGUACCGUAAGAAUAAGCACCGGCUAACUACGUGCCAGCAGCCGCGGUAAUACGUAGGGUGCAAGCGUUAAUCGGAAUUACUGGGCGUAAAGCGUGCGCAGGCGGUUUUGUAAGACAGGCGUGAAAUCCCCGGGCUCAACCUGGGAAUUGCGCUUGUGACUGCAAGGCUGGAGUGAGGCAGAGGGGGAUGGAAUUCCGCGGGUAGCAGUGAAAUGCGUAGAUAUGCGGAGGAACACCGAUGGCGAAGGCAAUCCCCUGGGCCUGCACUGACGCUCAUGCACGAAAGCGUGGGGAGCAAACAGGAUUAGAAACCCCAGUAGUCC
This 450-nucleotide ribosomal RNA is filed under the name uncultured bacterium. RNAcentral describes it as "partial 16S ribosomal RNA". It matches the Rfam family "Bacterial small subunit ribosomal RNA", at positions 354 to 796 of the family's 1533-position model. The record is from RNAcentral.